UACGGAGGGUGCAGGCGUUAUCCGGAUUCACUGGGUUUAAAGGGUGCGUAGGUGGGUUGAUAAGUCAGUGGUGAAAUCCCCGAGCUUAACUUGGGAACUGCCAUUGAUACUAUUGAUCUUGAAUACCGUGGAGGUCAGCGGAAUAUGUCAUGUAGCGGUGAAAUGCUUAGAUAUGACAUAGAACACCAAUUGCGAAGGCAGCUGGCUACGCGAAUAUUGACACUGAUGCACGAAAGCGUGGGGAUCAAACAGG
This 253-nucleotide ribosomal RNA is filed under the name uncultured bacterium. RNAcentral describes it as "partial 16S ribosomal RNA". It matches the Rfam family "Bacterial small subunit ribosomal RNA", at positions 524 to 776 of the family's 1533-position model. The record is from RNAcentral.